UCUUCUUGAACUUCUGGGAUCUGGC
RNAcentral lists this non-coding RNA (25 nucleotides) under Rattus norvegicus (Norway rat). Lineage: Eukaryota; Metazoa; Chordata; Mammalia; Rodentia; Muridae. The record is from RNAcentral.